Molecule: ribosomal RNA, 252 nt
Filed under: uncultured bacterium
Lineage: Bacteria
Description: partial 16S ribosomal RNA
Rfam family: Bacterial small subunit ribosomal RNA
Source: RNAcentral
ACGGAGGGGGCUAGCGUUGUUCGGAAUUACUGGGCGUAAAGCGCACGUAGGCGGCUUUGUAAGUCAGAGGUGAAAGCCUGGAGCUCAACUCCAGAACUGCCUUUGAGACUGCAUCGCUUGAAUCCAGGAGAGGUCAGUGGAAUUCCGAGUGUAGAGGUGAAAUUCGUAGAUAUUCGGAAGAACACCAGUGGCGAAGGCGGCUGACUGGACUGGUAUUGACGCUGAGGUGCGAAAGCGUGGGGAGCAAACAGG